This 268-nucleotide long non-coding RNA is filed under the name Brassica napus (rape). Its description in RNAcentral is "long non-coding RNA (BNAP_LNC020802)". The record is from RNAcentral. Lineage: Eukaryota; Viridiplantae; Streptophyta; Magnoliopsida; Brassicales; Brassicaceae.
CUGAUUACGAAAGAGAAACAGUAAGUGGAAAUUAGUGGAAAUAUUAGUAGAAGCGAAGAAAUUAAAAAACUCAUCCUUUUUUGAGAUGAAACAGUAACUCAAAUUGAUUUCGGUUCGAUCAAAUGUAGAGUUAAGUAGACUUUAGAGCAUCUCCAAAGUAAAACUCUAUAUUUUUUUAAAAAAUAGAGUAAAAAUAAAUAUGAAGUAAAAAUGCUUCAAUUCUAUUUCAUUUAUUACUCCAUAAUAGAGUGAUGAACAAACAAAAAAA